Molecule: long non-coding RNA, 3798 nt
Filed under: Zea mays
Lineage: Eukaryota; Viridiplantae; Streptophyta; Magnoliopsida; Poales; Poaceae
Description: long non-coding RNA (ZMAY_LNC005346)
Source: RNAcentral
AGAGGUUCACAUCUUUUUUUACUGCAAUAGCCAAAAUGGUUUAUCCUCCCCAAAAUUAUUCAGUAACCAAAGCCAAAGAAAAUUUUGUAGCGUGGUGGUGGUGGCGUGGUGCCGGUGCAGCUGAAAAUUUUGUGGCCACCGCCAAAGAGACAUUUUUACACAAGCAGUAGAAAGCUCACAUUGACGGGAUCAUGGGAAAGCAUGCAAAGUGCAGAUCAGCAGAUGCAACUGCAGACCGCGAGACAGUAGAACGCGUGACUGCUGGUUCUCUGAUUAACACAACUCUGCUACUCCAUCCCAUAGUCCACGCUCGAGGUCACUCCAACUGAUAUAUGAAUAUAUGAUGUACAACUUCUCCGCCGCCAUGGAGAAGAAGGGAUCGUCUGCUGAUCAGAUCAUCGACGGUAGAUGCUAAUGCUGCGCAGGCACGUAUAGGCUUGCCUGGAACUGGAACGGACGGGGAACAAUUGGGACGGUUUCAUUUAGGGAUGAAAACGGGACGGAUACAGCCGGAUACAGGGUCAUCCCGUAUCCUACCCUAAUGUAUUUUUCUCGGAUAUGGGACCGGAUACGGGUAGUUAAGAUUCGGGACGGAUACAGGACGGGAUCGGGUAAUAAUCUGGACGGGUAAGAAACGGAUAACAGAUAUUACUCGGAUAGGUACCGGAUAAUUGUCGGGUAGUUCAUCCGAUGAUAUUAAUUGUCCAACCAUCCAUAAGUUAAGCAAUACAUAAUCAUGUAUAUGAUAGAUCAUAUGUAAGAAAGGAAACCGGUAAAAUUGACAUCAUGCAGUUCAAAGUUGCUUAUCACAAGGACAUUGUAGAACCAACACCGCAAUAUUUAAAAUUCAUAAAAUAUUCUAGUUUCACUAAAAUAUUGUAAAUAAGUUAAAAAAACUAAUAAACAUUUUAUAUGAAGAUAACUCAAGUCCUCGUAUGAAAAUGAUAAAGUGAAGUACUGAUUAUGUUGAAACUUGGAUACUUACACUAAUUUCACAUGUAACUCGUACAAAUAAGUGAAAGUGAAAGGAAAGAAACGUGGGCAUCUUAUAGAUCUUAUGAUCUAAACAUUUUUCAUGGUUACAUAUGGACAUAUGUUGUAUCUCCGUAAAUUUUCACGAUUUUUUGAGGCUAUUUAUGUAUUAUUAAUUUCUUGUCAUAGAAAACUAUCAAAAUACAAUUAAAUCAUUAAAAUAUUGUUUAAACAAAAAAUUGAUGUAUUACAAAGUCAUAGAUCUCUUCAAGCUCUACAAUUUUCAUAUAAACUUUAUCUUCAUCCGAUUUCAUAUGUAAAAGUUAUGAUUUUAUUACUAUAUUAUGCAGAAAAAGAAAAAACGGGUACCCGAAUUCCGGGUACCCGUAUCCGACCCGGGAUUUUCGGGUACUGACCGGGUAUUAGGGAUUCCGUAUCCUACCCGUAUCCGAGGUUCAAUAUCCGGGUAAUACCCGUAUCCGUCCCGACAAACAAAAUACCCGUAUCCGUAUCCGAAAUUACGUCCCGUUUUGGUACCCGUAUCCGAUACCCGUUCCGGGUACCCGUCCCGUUUUCAUCCCUAGUUUCAUUGGCCAGUCAGGGCUGAGACCACCUCGGUCUUCUUCCCGUACAUCACGUUCCACAAGUCCAGCGGUCGGGUACAACGGCUACUGCUCUGCCGCCGCGGCGAGCGGGGCAGACGUGUACGGUGUAGCAGCGAUGUGCGGUGCCGCGUGUCCCGCCGCCUGUAGGAACCGCUCGACGCCGAGGUGCGGCAGGAGGAGGCUGAGGCCGAGUCCGUCCUGCUGCGGCGGCUGCAGGUUGGCCUCGUCGGCGCCGGUGACGCGCUGCACCAUGGCGCGGAAGGUGGCGGCGUCGGUGCUGAUGUACGUGGUGGGCGCGCGCUUGGACGGCCGCGGCCGGCGCCGCUUCCCCGCGUGCCCGCCCGCCGGGCCCAGCCGGCACCGCGUGGACGAGGACGGCGACGCUACGCCCGUCGAGGUACAGUCCAUCACUGCCACGACGCCUUGCAUCAGCAUCGCCGCUGUCGCCGUGGCGACGAGGCCAGAGGUAAGGCGGGCCGAUGGAGCGGAGCUAGCCGGCACGGGCGACGACUGGGAUGUGUGGGGCUGGCGGCGAGUUUGGGAGGAGCCGAGGAGGCAUGGGCGCGGUGGGACUGGAGGUCGGACGUGGACCAUUGGAAGAUGAAUUUGAGUAAGUUUUCGGGUCCGUGUCGGCACAACACACAGGCCGGCGUGGCAGCAUCUGCUGUGAGGAAAUGGCAUGGGGUUUCAAUCGGAUGGCUGACCUUUUCUGGAUGACGUGGCUGCUGUGAGGCACUGAGAAUCCUCGUAGCUAUUAAGACACUGAGAAUCCUCACAUUGACGGGAUCAUGGGAAAGCAUGCAAAGUGCAGAUCAGCAGAUGCAACUGCAGACCGCGAGACAGUAGAACGCGUGACUGCUGGUUCUCUGAUUAACACAACUCUGCUACUCCAUCCCAUAGUCCACGCUCGAGGUCACUCCAACUGAUAUAUGAAUAUAUGAUGUACAACUUCUCCACCGCCAUGAAGAAGGGAUCGUCUGCUGAUCAGAUCAUCGACGGUAGAUGCUAAUGCUGCGCAGGCACGUAUAGGCUUGCCUGGAACUGGAACGGACGGGGAACAAUUGGGACGGUUUCAUUGGCCAGUCAGGGCUGAGACCACCUCGGUCUUCUUCCUGUACAUCACGUUCCACAAGUCCAGCGGUCGGGUACAACGGCUACUGCUCUGCCGCCGCGGCGAGCGGGGCAGACGUGUACGGUGUAGCAGCGAUGUGCGGUGCCGCGUGUCCCGCCGCCUGUAGGAACCGCUCGACGCCGAGGUGCGGCAGGAGGAGGCUGAGGCCGAGUCCGUCCUGCUGCGGCGGCUGCAGGUUGGCCUCGUCGGCGCCGGUGACGCGCUGCACCAUGGCGCGGAAGGUGGCGGCGUCGGUGCUGAUGUACAUGGUGGGCGCGCGCUUGGACGGCCGCGGCCGGCGCCGCUUCCCCGCGUGCCCGCCCGCCGGGCCCAGCCGGCACCGCGUGGACGAGGACAGCGACGCUACGCCCGUCGAGGUACAGUCCAUCACUGCCACGACGCCUUGCAUCAGCAUCGCCGCUGUCGCCGUGGUGACGAGGCCAGAGGUAAGGUGGGCCGAUGGAGCGGAGCUAGCCGGCACGGGCGACGACUAGGAUGUGUGGGGCUGGCUGCGAGUUUGGGAGGAGCCGAGGAGGCAUGGGCGCGGUGGGACUGGAGGUCGGACGUGGACCAUUGGAAGCUGAAUUUGAGUAAGUUUUCGGGUCCGUGUCGACACAACACACAGGCCGGCGUGGCAGCAUCUGCUGUGAGGAAAUGGCAUGGGGUUUCAAUCGGAUGGCUGACCUUUUCUGGACGACGUGGCUGCCGUGAGGCACUGAGAAUCCUUGUAGCUAUUAAGACACUGAGAAUCCUCACAUUGACGGGAUCAUGGGAAAGCAUGCAAAGUGCAGAUCAGCAGAUGCAACUGCAGACCGCAAGACAGUAGAACGCGUGACUGCUGGUUCUCUGAUUAACACAACUCUGCUACUCCAUCCCAUAGUCCACGCUCGAGGUCACUCCAACUGAUAUAUGAAUAUAUGAUGUACAACUUCUCCACCGCCAUGAAGAAGGGAUCGUCUGCUGAUCAGAUCAUCGACGGUAGAUGCUAAUGCUGCGCAGGCACGUAUAGGCUUGCCUGGAACUGGAACGGACGGGGAACAAUUGGGACGGUUUCAUUGGCCAGUCAGGGCUGAGACCACCUCGGUCUUCUUCCCGUACAUCACGUUCCAC